AGCAUUAGGGGAGCCCACGGCUACAAAAACAAGUGAGUGAGAAGAGGUGGGAGGAAGAGAAACUACGCCACCUCCCCUGCAGCCGAGUGCACGCAGCAGCCUGGCGUGACAAGUGGGCGACGCCGGGGGGCAGGGAGCCGGGGUCCUUGGCCCUGGCCGGGGACCCCACCGCCCACCGCGCGGAGGACAACUUUUAGCCGGCAGCCCAGACCAGCGCGGCACCUGUCUCCGGAGUCUCCACCGCUCCUCCCGAUUCAUCCCAGGGAAAUUCUCAAGAAUACGCUCUACAAAUCUACGUGCGCAUCAUUUUCACCUCGCGUCGCGCCCGGGAGGAAGGAACGAGGCAAGGAGCUAAAGCAGCGUGCGUUCAGCCCUGGGGCAUUUUAUUAAUGCUUUUACGAGUUAGAAGAGUUGGGAUAAUUUGCCAUCUGGAGUUUCUCUGCCUUGCUGAUCUGAGCUCAGACCUGCCAAUUUACCAGAGAUAAUUGAUAACACCCUGUAACAGCUGACUUUCUGUUCACGUGUCUACAUUUGAAGUUACUGCAUUCAGAAUGAAAGCCAUACAUCUGACCUCACAAUGUAAGGAUAUUCAGUUUUCUUCCUGAUAGCCUAGAAGAAGGAAAAGAAUCACAAGGUUGUAGCAUUGCCC
This 649-nucleotide long non-coding RNA is filed under the name Homo sapiens (human). Its description in RNAcentral is "non-protein coding LINC-PINT:47". Lineage: Eukaryota; Metazoa; Chordata; Mammalia; Primates; Hominidae. The record is from RNAcentral.